GUCAGGUUUUGUUUUUUUCCAUGAUUACAUGCCAGGAUAUCUUUUGUCUCGCCUUGCCAUGCUAUGCUGUGAACUUUGCCACAGUUUUUCCAUUGAUCCCAUGCCAUAGUAGUCCAGCUCCCAGCCGACUGGACAUCUGUUGUCUAGCAACUCCUGCACCAAUCAGAGCGUCAGGCCUCUCCUCUCCUCUGCAGUGGAACCAGCCUUGCAUGCAAAUGGCCGACAUCGAGAGUUCACACACAACUAUCAAACUCUACAGAACUACUGACAGGAAAGCACAAGUAACUAAUUCCUUAGGCGCACAUACAGAUCCUUCAAGUGCCAAGAUGCAUACGUACUGCAGAAGCCCA
Long non-coding RNA from Scatophagus argus, 350 nucleotides. RefSeq lists it as uncharacterized. The record is from RefSeq and is a predicted model, not a curated record. The transcript has 2 exons. Lineage: Eukaryota; Metazoa; Chordata; Actinopteri; Scatophagidae.